GGCGCCUUGCGCGCACCGGCGGACGGCUCAGUAACACGUCGGUAACCUACCCUCGGGAGGGGGAUAACCCCGGGAAACUGGGGCUAAUCCCCCAUAGGCCUGAGGUACUGGAAGGUCCUCAGGCCGAAAGGGGCUUCGGCCCGCCCGAGGAUGGGCCGGCGGCCGAUUAGGUAGUUGGUGGGGUAACGGCCCACCAAGCCGAAGAUCGGUACGGGCCAUGAGAGUGGGAGCCCGGAGAUGGACACUGAGACACGGGUCCAGGCCCUACGGGGCGCAGCAGGCGCGAAACCUCCGCAAUGCGGGAAACCGCGACGGGGGGACCCCCAGUGCCGUGGCAUCGCCACGGCUUUUCCGGAGUGUAAAAAGCUCCGGGAAUAAGGGCUGGGCAAGGCCGGUGGCAGCCGCCGCGGUAAUACCGGCGGCCCGAGUGGUGGCCGCUAUUAUUGGGC
Molecule: ribosomal RNA, 449 nt
Filed under: Thermococcus sp. AV11
Lineage: Archaea; Methanobacteriati; Methanobacteriota; Thermococci; Thermococcales; Thermococcaceae
Description: bacterial SSU rRNA
Rfam family: Archaeal small subunit ribosomal RNA
Source: RNAcentral